UGAUGGGCAUUUUGAAGCAUUUUCUGACAGUGUUUAUUAUGAGAUCAUAACCCAGAUACAUUAGAUAACGUAGCCCUAAUAACAGCAUGCAUGCAAAAUUUGUCUACAUUGAAAAGUUAGACAUUUUGAUCUCUACAGUGCCCCAAUUAGAACGACCACUGCAAUACCUUUAGCACCAGACAACAAUGCUAUUAUGCAGCAUGCAAUGAAAUCCUGCUGUCCUCCACUCCUGAAGAAAAUUUUUGUCUUCUUUAUCUGUAAAUUAUCUGCUAUGUUCAUUAGCUAGUUGCUAACUUUUUGUUAUCUUGUGCUAGGCAGGAAGUGUUUUUGUUUUUUUUGCAGCUGCCUGCUGUGGCUAAAAAGAGCGAUAAGAGUGAACCAAAACAAGCCAAGCAACGUACCGCAAAACACAAAAAGAAUUAGCUGAAAGAUGCUAAAACACAGUUUACAACUGAUGGUAACUGCAGAGUCCUGGGAUUACUUAUCUGUACAUCACCACGAGUGACCCCUUUCACAUCACACAAAGUAAUUUAACCCAUUGUUGACAUAAAAUUCUUGAUAACUGCAUCUUUAAUCAUGCCAGUGGAGUUUGCCUCUGUCCAGCUAUCAGUGUCUGCAUACCCAAUCCAGGCAUGUUGCUUUUGUGGGAGUGGGAAAAUGAACUCGGAUCCAAGCUUUUGCAAAAGGAAUCUAAAUACACCCGUUUUACCCAAAAAUCAACAGGAGCCAAGAGGAAUGUCGGUCAGCUUCCCUCCAAGAAAAAAAAAAGUGGAUGUUGGUAUUUCCUGAAACGGCCCCGAGUGGGAGAGAGAAACCAAGUGGAAGACAAAUUGGAUGCCUGUCCUAUCAAUACAGUUAUUUCUACAGUUUGAGACUAACUUUGAGACCACACAAAUAAUAAUGUGCCGACCACUUUGAAUUCCAGUAAAAGUCCACCAAACUGAG
Molecule: long non-coding RNA, 945 nt
Organism: Micropterus salmoides (largemouth bass)
Lineage: Eukaryota; Metazoa; Chordata; Actinopteri; Centrarchiformes; Centrarchidae
Exons: 2
Source: RefSeq, a predicted model, not a curated record